Long non-coding RNA from Camelus dromedarius (Arabian camel), 3241 nucleotides. RefSeq lists it as uncharacterized. The transcript has 5 exons. Lineage: Eukaryota; Metazoa; Chordata; Mammalia; Artiodactyla; Camelidae. The record is from RefSeq and is a predicted model, not a curated record.
CCCACGACAGUCCGCAGGGGUCAGAGAUGCUGCGACGUCCAGCCCCCUUUCCCACGACAGUCCGCAGGGGCAGAGUCAAGGCUGAGUUUCUCGAGCUCUUCACCCAGCCCCGGGUGUCUGCAAGGAGCGCUGAAUCCUUAGCAAGUCUCCUGAGCUGGCUUGUUUCCAGCCUGUGUUUUGAGGUGUCGGGUCCGAGCUGAGAGGCCUCGGAGGUCACCUGUCCUGCCAGAAGGGGUGGCACAAUGCUGGUUCCCAUCCUCUGUCCUCUGUGUGCCUUGGGGCACAGUCAGCUUGGUGAGCGAGCUGUCCCUGACCACGUGGGUCCAAACUCAGCCGGAGGAGACGGCCAGAGGCAGUCAGCGUGGGCUCCAGCCCCACUUCACUUGCCCCAAGAAAAGAGAAGGGGGGUGUCGGAUGGCAGCUUGCCCUGAUGAGUCAGGCUUGCCUGGCUCCCUGGUUCUGACGGAAAAGAUGCGCCAGGUGAGAGGAAGUGACUUCAGCCCCCGGGGAUGACGGGCAGGCUCAGAGGAGGGGACUGGGCUGGGCGUCUCCACGGCCCCAGGAAAGGAAAAUGUCUUCCUGGCGAUGCUUAAAGAACACGCGUUUUAUCUGCGUCUCUCUUGCUUUCUGAGGUGGGGCGGCGGGUCACCCCAGUCCUUCCCCCUGCUCUGCCACCUCUGUGCCCCACGCACCCCUUCACUGCCCAUGAGCACUUGUGAUGGGGAAGCACAGGCUUGUCCGAUGACCAGGGACUGGAGGGCACAUUCAAGGUGGCAGAGUUGAAUGUUGUGGGAACUGGAUGUGGCAUCACUGGAUGUGUGGGAUUUUUCCUGGGAGCUGUCCGCGUCCCUGCUGUGUCCCCCUGUGGAUAAUGGUCUGUCCACAGCCACUGGACCCUCCCCCAGCAGCCAACGGUGUGCAGGUGAGAGUCAGGGUCACGUGGGGCUCAUGAGACCCCACACUGGAGCUGGCCUGACCAGGGUCCAACCCUCACUCCCAGGAGAGCCCUUAUUGUGGGCAGGGCUGGGGUCAGGGAGGCAAGAGUAGGUGUCUGGGGGUGAUAACCGCACUCUAUUGCCUGACCUGGUCAUGGUUACUCCGGGAAAAUUCAUUAGCAGACGUUCUGAUUUGAACAGUACACUCCCAACACAACAGUGUAAAAAUUGGCCACACUUUUUUUUUUUAAUGGUCAUACCGAAUCCUGCUAAAAGUUGGGGUGAUGGGCAAUCUUAGUGGGACGCACUCUAAGUGGGAGCAUAAGUUGGCAAGUUAAAUUCUGAAAUUUCAUAUUCUUGGACUAAUUAAGUCUACGGCUGGGAGUCUUCCCUAAGGAAAGAGUAAAAUUUAAACAUAAAACGUAGGUAUCAGGAUGUUCACCAUUGCAGUAUCAAAUAGUUUUAAAAAUCUAAAUGUCCAGCAAUUAAGAAGAGAGAGAGAUCUCACUAUACACCUGCUAGAAUGAUUGACAAGACUGGUGAUACCACGUGUUGGUGAGGACCUGGUUCAGCCAGAGCUCUCAGACACGGUCCGGGGGGAGAAAAAGUGAUGUGAAUGUGGGGAAAAGUUUGGCAUUUUCUUAUAAAGUUAGUUUUACUCUUUUGACUCAGCAAUUCUACAGGUAGGUUUUACCCAAGAGAACUGACAACAUGGAUUCCCAAAAAGACAUGUACCAAAAUUCUGUAUCUACUUUAUUUAUAAUAGACAAAGAGUAGUAACCCAAUGGUCAUACAGGAGAAUGGAUAAGCAAAUAAUGGUAUGUUUGCAUGAUAGAAAACUACUCAGCAGUAAAUUGGAAACAGGUACCUAGCAAUAAGGAGCCCAUGGAUGGAUCUUACAGACACUAAGAUGGACCAAAAAAGGCUGAAUACAUGAGAGUACGUAUUGUGCGGUUCUGUUUACAUGCAGUUCUAGGGCAAGUGAAAUGAAGCUAUGAUAAAGGAUGAGACCAGAGGCUGCUCUGGGGGCCAUUGACUGAGAAGGAGCACGAGGAAGCUGUUUCGCUGAGGGCCCCCUCUGCAUUUUGGAAGGCGUGCAUGUUAUGUGGGCAUAUGCCUUUCUCAAAGCUCAUAAAGUGAUAGUUUAAGAUCUGUGCAGUGUAUAGCAUGUGAAUUUUACUUAACCCCCACCCCCCACAGUUGUAAACGCACAUUGAGCGGUAGUUAGCAGGCUUGCUUAUUACAGUGGUAUGGGUUGGCAAUUCUAAAACUAUUUUCUCUUUAUUCCAAUUUUGAGCAAAUGGGUAAAUAUAUCGAGAAUAACGGCAGUUCAAUCUCCCACUGAUGAAGGAGGGAGUUACAGCGUGGGCAGGAGGAGGAUUAGAAUGUGCCUUGUAAAUUGGAGCUGGAGGAGCCAGGCUAUUUACUGCCUCGUAUCUCUUAGCUCUGUCUGCUGAGAGCGCUUCGAAGCCAUGACACCCAGUUUCAAUGGUCCCACCUGACGCAGCAUCCAGCUCCUGGUUUCUAACUCUCCAUCCAUAGGAACCAGGGUUUCUUGGAGAAAAGGCUGAUUUCAGGCCCCAGGCCCGAGACCAGGGAAAGCACGAGGUCAAGGUCAAGAGCUAGAAGGAACUGUUUCUGACUGAAGAAGCUAAAGAGACGGGGAGACGAUGUGUGAGUGUGUGCGUGGGUCCCAGGAGACAAAACACGACACAAGGACACUGCCGCUACCUGAUGAAAUGUGACUGUGCGGUGGACGAGAUGAGGGGUUGAAAUCAAAACCCAACAAAAGGUCUGGAUGAAUGAAGCCGGCAGAGCCAGUUUCUCUGUGCGAGUUCAUCAGCGAAAGAUUCCACAUAUGAGCGAUCUCAUGUGGUAUUUUUCUUUCUCUUUCUGGCUUACUUCACUUAGAAUGACAUUCUCCAGGAGCAUCCAUGUUGCUGCAAAUGGCGUUAUGUUGUCGGUUAUUAUGGCUGAGUAGUAUUCCAUUGUAUAAAUACACCACAUCUUCUUUAUCCAGUCACCUGUUGAUGGACAUUUAGGCUGCUUCCAUGUUUUGGCUAUUGUAAAUAGUGCUGCUAUGAACAUUGGGGUGCAGGUGUCAUCCUGAAGUAGGGUUCCUUCUGGAUACAAGCUCAGGAGUGGGAUUCCUGGGUCAUAUGGUAAGUCUAUUCCUAGUUAAGUUCUGAGCUGUCCUCUUUCACCAGCAUUUCCUUCCAACUUGCCCUCCUGUGUGGAAGGGAGCAGGAAAAUGUGGCUCCGGGCAGGCAGGCGGGUGUCUGUGCUUCCUGCCGGUCCCCAGUAUG